RNAcentral lists this transfer RNA (74 nucleotides) under Actinomycetota bacterium. Its description in RNAcentral is "tRNA-Leu". It matches the Rfam family "tRNA". Rfam says of the family: Transfer RNA (tRNA) molecules are approximately 80 nucleotides in length. Their secondary structure includes four short double-helical elements and three loops (D, anti-codon, and T loops). Further hydrogen bonds mediate the characteristic L-shaped molecular structure. tRNAs have two regions of fundamental functional importance: the anti-codon, which is responsible for specific mRNA codon recognition, and the 3' end, to which the tRNAs corresponding amino acid is attached (by aminoacyl-tRNA synthetases). tRNAs cope with the degeneracy of the genetic code in two manners: having more than one tRNA (with a specific anti-codon) for a particular amino acid; and 'wobble' base-pairing, i.e. permitting non-standard base-pairing at the 3rd anti-codon position. Lineage: Bacteria; Bacillati; Actinomycetota. The record is from RNAcentral.
GCGCCCGUAGCCCAAUCGGGAGAGGCAACAGGUUUAGGUCCUGUCCAGUGAGAGUUCGAAUCUCUCCGGGCGCA